UAUUGGUGUUGCUUGCGGUGUGCAGGACUUCACACAAUUCUCAAUGGGAGAGAACGCGUGACUCCAGAAGUAGGUGCAAGGCCACAAAAAUGGAACUUUAACAGAGCGCAGUCACUAGAAAAACAUGGAUGACAAAAAGUGCCUGCGGAGUGAAAGCAAUAUUUGGCAAAAUCACAAGACAAAUUGUAGAGUAUGAAUUCAAAUCACCUAGCUGUCGAUAAGGGUUUUCAUUUGGAAAUGACGUGUUAGCUCACAGGUCUGGCUGCCAGCGGAGCAUGGAUACAUGGCAAUUAGGGUUUCAGUUUUGGCAUUAUUAAAUUCCAUAGGCUGCAUUUUUUAUAUUCUUUGGGAGCCUUAAAUUUUGAAGGUGAUGGGAGCCUUAAAUUUUGAAGGUGAUACUUAUGCAGUAACUUGAAGGGCGCUCUUUCCCUUAACUCGUUAUUAAUUUGUGUAUAGAUAACCAAUCAAAUAUUAUUUUGUUGCCAUAGUUUUCUUAUUUUCUUAGUUCUAGUCGGUAAAGAUGCAUAUUAUUUAAGUGAAUUAUUAUGCUCAAGCUUUGUGGCGUUUUCAUAUUGGAUACACCAAUGGUUUGCAGGAAUUUGCAGUUUUCAAUGAGAGAGAAUGCAGAUCUCCAAGGCAGCUACAGGGCCGUCAAAGUGGAGUCCCCGACCAUCACUUGAAACAGAUGGUGAUCGCAAAACAAUUUGCAGAAAUUAGAUUUAGGGAAAACGUACAUGUCCAAAUGCAGGGUCGUUAAAGUAGGGUUCCUAAUAGUAGUAUGAAACAGAUGGCCCUAGAAGAAAGAUUUGCUGAGAUCAAAAUCUAGGGAAUGUGGUUGAAGGCAGGGAAGAUAAACAAUUGUUGAUAAAAGAAUGAGUUUGCCUGCAUGCUAGAUACUUGCAAUACUUUAGGGCAUCGUUUUGUGCAUCAAUUUGUGCAAGGUUUAUUAUUAAACAAGCAUAGAGCUACUAAAGAAUAAAGAAUAAGGAAUACAAAAGAGGUUUUUGGAUCUGUCCCUGGAAUUAUAUGGUCCCUAUUUUUUUAUUUUACUGUAUUCCUGAUCAAAUUUGAAUCUAAUGUUUAAUAUGCACAAACAAUCAUUUUCAAUGUCUAAUUCCAUUGCAUUAUGUUGAUUGAAUCAUAUAACUAGAACUGAAUCUCUUUGUUCACUUGCAGUCUACCUUGAGACUAAAACCAUUUGGUUUUUAUAGAAGUCGGGGAUUGCGUAAUUUCAAAUUAUUCUCUUCUUCGACUCAACCUGCCUUCUUCUUUGGAUCUAUCCUUGCAAUUGUACGGUGGAUUUGUCUUGGUCCUGAAUGCAAAAGCUAAGAACAACCAACAAAUCCAGGGAAAGGAUCAAUAGCAAGCAAGCCCACUGACAGAAAAAUGAAAUCACACAAUUUAUUACCAUUGUACUAGAUUUGCACAACAUCGUUAAUAGGCAGCCGACAUUUGGCAAACAUAUGUAAAUAUAUAUCUCUUUCUUUCACUUUGUAUUGUUGUGCUGAUGUUAAAUCGGUUGACAAUGUGAUAUGUCUCUUCUCUCCCGAUGACUUUGAUAAUUGAAUUUAUAAUUAUCUGAAAUCUGUUGUUGAUUAAAUCAAAACAAUAAUAAUAAAAUAGAUUUCAUCUUGCCAUUGCUUUGCCAC
Molecule: long non-coding RNA, 1649 nt
Organism: Cryptomeria japonica (Japanese cedar)
Lineage: Eukaryota; Viridiplantae; Streptophyta; Pinopsida; Cupressales; Cupressaceae
Exons: 3
Source: RefSeq, a predicted model, not a curated record